This 233-nucleotide long non-coding RNA is filed under the name Brassica napus (rape). RNAcentral describes it as "long non-coding RNA (BNAP_LNC010699)". Lineage: Eukaryota; Viridiplantae; Streptophyta; Magnoliopsida; Brassicales; Brassicaceae. The record is from RNAcentral.
UAAAAACAAUUUUUUCAAGAAUGUAUAAGCAUUAAUCUUUGACUAGAUUUUGAUCUGCGCUUUCAAAACGCGAGAUUAUUUUCGAAACAUUCCAAAUUUAUUUGAUAUAAAUUUGUAUUUUAAUUGUAUCUACACUUAGAUAUUACAAAUAAAAAAUUAUAUUCAAUGUUUUGAAAUCCGAUCCGACCCGCAGUUAAAUUGCCAAAUUCGGUGGUUCAUAUGUAAUUCAUUUU